This 459-nucleotide ribosomal RNA is filed under the name uncultured Bacteroidota bacterium. Its description in RNAcentral is "bacterial SSU rRNA". It matches the Rfam family "Bacterial small subunit ribosomal RNA", at positions 28 to 478 of the family's 1533-position model. The record is from RNAcentral. Lineage: Bacteria; Pseudomonadati; Bacteroidota.
GAUGNACGCUAACGNGCGGCCUAUACAUGCAAGUACCGGGGCAGCACAAAGAUAGCUUGCUAUUUUGGUGGCGACCGGCGCACGGGUGCGUAACGCGUAUGCAAUCUACCUUAUACUGGGGUAUAGCCCGAAGAAAUUCGGAUUAAUCCCCCAUAGUACUGAUAUACCUCAUGGUAAUUCAGUUAAAGUUUCGGCGGUAUGAGAUGAGCAUGCGUCCUAUUAGCUAGAUGGUAAGGUAACGGCUUACCAUGGCUACGAUAGGUAGGGGGCCUGAGAGGGUGACCCCCCACACUGGUACUGAGACACGGACCAGACUCCUACGGGAGGCAGCAGUGAGGAAUAUUGGUCAAUGGGCGCAAGCCUGAACCAGCCAUGCCGCGUGCAGGAAGAAUGCCCUAUGGGUUGUAAACUGCUUUUAUUUAGGAAUAAACCUUUCUACGUGUAGAAAGCUGAAGGUAC